UGGGGGAUAACGUUCGGAAACGGACGCUAAUACCGCAUACGUCCUACGGGAGAAAGCAGGGGACCUUCGGGCCUUGCGCUAUCAGAUGAGCCUAGGUCGGAUUAGCUAGUUGGUGGGGUAAUGGCUCACCAAGGCGACGAUCCGUAACUGGUCUGAGAGGAUGAUCAGUCACACUGGAACUGAGACACGGUCCAGACUCCUACGGGAGGCAGCAGUGGGGAAUAUUGGACAAUGGGCGAAAGCCUGAUCCAGCCAUGCCGCGUGUGUGAAGAAGGUCUUCGGAUUGUAAAGCACUUUAAGUUGGGAGGAAGGGCCAUUACCUAAUACGUGAUGGUUUUGACGUUACCGACAGAAUAAGCACCGGCUAACUCUGUGCCAGCAGCCGCGGUAAUACAGAGGGUGCAAGCGUUAAUCGGAAUUACUGGGCGUAAAGCGCGCGUAGGUGGUUUGUUAAGUUGGAUGUGAAAUCCCCGGGCUCAACCUGGGAACUGCAUUCAAAACUGACUGCUAGAGUAUGGUAGAGGGUGGUGGAAUUUCCUGUGUAGCGGUGAAAUGCGUA
This 559-nucleotide ribosomal RNA is filed under the name Pseudomonas sp. C11-5. RNAcentral's name for it is "bacterial SSU rRNA". It matches the Rfam family "Bacterial small subunit ribosomal RNA", at positions 137 to 692 of the family's 1533-position model. The record is from RNAcentral. Lineage: Bacteria; Pseudomonadati; Pseudomonadota; Gammaproteobacteria; Pseudomonadales; Pseudomonadaceae.